GGUAUACUCCCUCCAUCCGAAAAAACUUGUCCCAAUCUUGUCCCUCGAAUGGAUGUACCUAGCACUAACUUUAUGCUAGAUACAUCCAUUUAAGGGACAAGCUUUUUCGGACUGGGGGAGUACUUU
This is a non-coding RNA of Triticum aestivum (bread wheat), 126 nucleotides long. The record is from Rfam. Lineage: Eukaryota; Viridiplantae; Streptophyta; Magnoliopsida; Poales; Poaceae.